Molecule: ribosomal RNA, 2955 nt
Filed under: human gut metagenome
Description: Bacterial large subunit ribosomal RNA
Rfam family: Bacterial large subunit ribosomal RNA
Source: RNAcentral
GUCAAGCGAAUCAGGGUCCACGGAGGAUGCCUGGGAGCCGCCAGACGAAGAAGGACGCGGUCAGCUGCGAAAAGCCGGGGGGAGGAGCCGACAUCCGACGAUCCCCGGGUGUCCGAAUGGGGUAACCCGAAUGUCUGGAUGACAUUCGCCUAUGCGUGAACACAUAGCGACAUAGGUGGAAUACGCCGGGAAGUGAACCAUCUAAGUACCGGCAGGAAGAGAAAUCAAAACGAGAUUCCCCAAGUAGCGGCGAGCGAACGGGGAGGAGCCCAAACCCGCGGCGUGCCAAGGACAGGUCCGUUGCGUCGCGGGGGUAGCGGGAGCCGUCGGUGCAGCGCCUGUGCUGCACGUCGAGUGAGAAACCACGACUCUAGGCGAACGGUCUGGGAAGGCCGGCCAGAGGGGGUGAAAGCCCCGUAGCCGAAAGCGUCGUGGCUCGAUGGACGGAGAUCCCAAGUACGUCGGGACACGAGGAAUCCUGACGGAAGCAGGGGGGACCACCCUCCAAGGCUAAAUACGUGGCGGCUACCGAUAGCGCAUAGUACCGUGAGGGAAAGGUGAAAAGGACCCCGGGAGGGGAGUGAAAGAGAACCUGAAACCGUGGACCUGCAAGCGGUCAGAGCCCGAGAGGGUGAUGGCGUGCCUUUUGUAGAAUGAGCCUGCGAGUCUUCGUAUGCAGCGAGGUUAAGGCAUAGGAGUGCCGGAGCCGAAGGGAAACCGAGUCCGAAAGGGGCGUACAGUUGCAUGCGGAGGACCCGAAGCCAAGUGAUCUAUCCAUGGCCAGGCUGAAGCUGGAGUAGAAUCCAGUGGAGGGCCGAACCUAAAUCCGCUGAAAAGGGUUGGGAUGAGCUGUGGAUCGGAGCGAAAGACUAAACAAACUUGGAGAUAGCUGGUACUCCCCGAAAUAGCUUUAGGGCUAGCCUUGCGUGGACAGUCAUGGAGGUAGAGCACUGAAUGGAUGAGGGCCCUUCACCGGGUACCGAUUUCAAUCAAACUCCGAAUGCCAUGACCCAAUGCGCAGGAGUCAGACGGCGACUGAUAAGGGCCGUCGUCGAAAGGGAAACAGCCCAGACCGCCGGCCAAGGUCCCCAAUGUGUGCCAAGUGGGAAAGGAAGUCCGAUUGCGAAGACAGCCAGGAGGUUGGCUCAGAAGCAGCCACACCUUCAAAGAGUGCGUAACAGCUCACUGGUCGAGUAGCCGGGCGCCGACAAUUCAACGGGGCUAAGCACACAACCGAAGCCGCGGCUCAGUACUUUGUGCUGGGGGUAGGGGAGCAUUCCAUGUACGGACGAAGGUGCGCCGCAAGGCGAGCUGGACGGGAUGGAAGAGAGAAUGCAGGCAUGAGUAACGAAAAGAUGGGUGGGAUCCCCAUCCGCCGAAAGCCUAAGGUUUCCAGGGUAAAGGUAAUCUACCCAAGGGUUAGUCGGCCCCUAAGGCGAGGACGAAGGUCGUAGCCGAUGGGAAACGGGUCAACAUUCCCGUACCUCUCAACGAAUCGAUGGGACGAAGCAUAGGGCGAAGCGCAGCGGGGCGACGGUUGUCCCCGUCCAAGCGUCCGAGCGGGAGAGGCCUCCAGGCAAAUCCGGAGGCUGACGCGAGGCGCGAACGCGAGCGGACCUACGGGCGAGCGAAGUGCGUGACGUCGUCGUGCCGGGAAACAGUCUCUAAGGUGCGUCGUUGAGGGACCGUACUACAAACCGACACAGGUGGGCGAGCUGAGAAUGCGAAGGCGUACGGAAGAACUUGCGUUAAGGAACUCGGCAAAAUGCAUACGUAACUUCGGGAUAAGUAUGGCCGCGAGAGCGGCUGCAGAGAAACGGCCCAUGCGACUGUUUACCAAAAACACAGGUCUAUGCGAACCAGCAAUGGGAAGUAUAUGGACUGACACCUGCCCGGUGCUGGAAGGUUAAGGGGAGUCGUCAGCGCAAGCGAAGCGGCGAACCGAAGCCCCAGUAAACGGCGGCCGUAACUAUAACGGUCCUAAGGUAGCGAAAUUCCUUGUCGGGUAAGUUCCGACCCGCACGAAUGGUGUAACGAUAUGGGCGCUGUCUCAACGCAAGAUCCGGUGAAAUUGAAGUCCAGGUGAAGAUGCCUGGUACCUGUGGUUAGACGGAAAGACCCCGUGAACCUUUACUUCAACUUAGCAUUGAUGACUGAUCCGUCUUGUGUAGGAUAGGUGGGAGCCGGAGAUCCGUGGCCGUCAGGCUGCGGGGAGGCGACGGUGAAAUACCACCCUGGACGGUUCAGUCCUCUAACCCUCGCCGUGAUCCGGUGCGGGGACAAUGCUAGGCGGGAAGUUUGACUGGGGCGGUCGCCUCCCAAAGGGUAACGGAGGCGCGCGAAGGUCACCUUAGUCUGGUUGGGAAUCAGACGUCAAGUGCAAAGGCACAAGGUGGCUUGACUGCGAGGCUCACAGGCCGAGCAGGUACGAAAGUAGGUCUUAGUGAUCUGGCGGUGGCAAGUGGAAGCGCCGUCACUUAACGGAUAAAAGGUACUCCGGGGAUAACAGGCUGAUCUUGCCCAAGAGUUCAUAUCGACGGCAAGGUUUGGCACCUCGAUGUCGGCUCAUCGCAUCCUGGGGCUUGGAGCAGGUCCCAAGGGUUUGGCUGUUCGCCAAUCAAAGCGGUACGCGAGCUGGGUUCAGAACGUCGUGAGACAGUUCGGUCCCUAUCUGCCACAGGCGUUGGAUGUUUGAGAGGCCCUGCUUCUAGUACGAGAGGACCGAAGUGGACGAACCUCUGGUGUAUCUGUUGUCGUGCCAACGGCAGGUGCAGAGUAGCUACGUUCGGAAGGGAUAAGCGCUGAAGGCAUCUAAGUGCGAAACCCCCCUCAAGAUCGAACAUCCCUGGCCUUGAGCCAAUAAGGAACCAGACAGACUAUCUGGUCGAUAGGCCGCGGAUGCAGGCGCAGCGAUGCGCACAGUCCAGCGGUACUAAUCAUCCGAACGGCUUGACC